UAGCUCAGUGGGUAGAGUAGUUGCCUAGCAUGCAAGAAGCCCUGGGUUUGAUCCCCAG
This 58-nucleotide transfer RNA is filed under the name Neotoma lepida (desert woodrat). It matches the Rfam family "tRNA", at positions 8 to 63 of the family's 71-position model. Rfam says of the family: Transfer RNA (tRNA) molecules are approximately 80 nucleotides in length. Their secondary structure includes four short double-helical elements and three loops (D, anti-codon, and T loops). The record is from Rfam by way of RNAcentral. Lineage: Eukaryota; Metazoa; Chordata; Mammalia; Rodentia; Cricetidae.